UUGGUCAUAAGUUGGCCACCGCACCAAUAUGUGACCAUUUAGGCACAAACUUGAAUGUGGAUGGUCACAAAUUAAACAUUUUCAAAACAUUAUGGCCACAACGUGACAUUUUGAUGGCCACGGUUUUGCAUGUCACGGUAGUGGCUAAAUUGUAAUAUUCUUGUAGCGAGUAGAACUAAAAGAUUAUAAUUUAGGCAGAUGAAUGAAGCGGACAUGGCAUGAUGCCUCUGGUUGUCAUUUUGCUU
Arabidopsis thaliana (thale cress) is the source of this 245-nucleotide long non-coding RNA. RefSeq annotates it as other RNA. NCBI's taxonomy places the organism in Eukaryota, Viridiplantae, Streptophyta, Magnoliopsida, Brassicales, Brassicaceae. The record is from RefSeq. The transcript has a single exon.